This 352-nucleotide long non-coding RNA is filed under the name Lupinus angustifolius (narrow-leaved blue lupine). Its description in RNAcentral is "long non-coding RNA (LANG_LNC002402)". Lineage: Eukaryota; Viridiplantae; Streptophyta; Magnoliopsida; Fabales; Fabaceae. The record is from RNAcentral.
UCAUACUGUAUAACUUUCAUUAUUGUAAAUUUAUGCAUGUCCUCCAAAGAAUUAAAGAGCAAAUUAAACACCAAGAGAAUUGAGAAUUAGUUACCAAACCACAAACACUAACACAAUAUAUAUUGACUUAUAUCAACCAAAAUUUCUUUUUAUAGUAAAUGAUAGAAACCAAUUGAAAUGUACAUUUACCAGAAGUCUUUGAAUAUAUUGGUGUCGGCAGAUUUGACAGUAAGAAGUUUACUCUCAUAACGUGCAGUAUUAUUAUUCUUCAACCAAUUUAGUUCUUUUUUCUUCUUCUUUUUCCUAUGUAAGGUGUUUCAUAUUUCAAUGAAUGUGAGAAAGAGGAUGGAAG